Long non-coding RNA from Bos taurus (domestic cattle), 685 nucleotides. Lineage: Eukaryota; Metazoa; Chordata; Mammalia; Artiodactyla; Bovidae. The record is from Ensembl.
GGAAGCGGCGCGCGCCGGCGCGGGGCGCGCUCGGGGCUGCGGGCGACGCGCGCGGUCGGGCCUCCGCGCGCGACAGGCGCGCGCGCCCCCGUGGGCCCCGGCGAGAGGAGAAUCGUCGGCUGGAGCCGUCACCCCGGGCGGGACCGAGCGCAGGCGAAAACGCGCGGCGGCCCGGCCGAGGGAGGGAGCGAGCGAGCGAGCGAGCGGGCGGGCGAGCCGGAGAGCGGGUAGGAGGCAGCCGCUGGCGCCCGAGGGGCCGAGCGAGUAUCUUGUGGAGAUUGAAUCUGCAAAUCGCUGCUGAGAGAUAAAUGAUUUGAUUUGAUUGUGACAAGCAUGCAAAUUAUUCUCUAUAUAAAACUGUGUCUCCUGGGAAAAAGCUGGACUAAUACCAUACUGAAAUGACCUUAACAGUGGAAUCCUUGAUUAGAUCCACGAUGUUAUGUACAUACUACAGCUCCAUAAAGUUGAUCAACUUCCACCAGGGAUGAACAGAUGUCCUGGCUUUAUCAGAAAUUGCUUUCCCAUUGCCACGCCUUUCACGAAAACCAGUCAUCGCCCUUGUUGUCUGAUUUUGUUGAGACGCUUUUAAAACUGUUUUUCCCUACCCGGAUAUUGGUUUGAAUGCACAGACUUUGCUAUUUACUUAUAAGAUGUAAUGGUAAUCAGAUAUGGUACCCUUCUCCUG